AUUGAACGCUGGCGGCAUGCCUUACACAUGCAAGUCGAACGGCAGCACGGAUGCUUGCACCUGGUGGCGAGUGGCGAACGGGUGAGUAAUACAUCGGAACGUACCUUAUCGUGGGGGAUAACGCAGCGAAAGCUGUGCUAAUACCGCAUACGCCCUGAGGGGGAAAGCGGGGGAUCGCAAGACCUCGCGCGAUUAGAGCGGCCGAUGCCUGAUUAGCUAGUUGGUGGGGUAAAAGACCACCAAGGCGACGAUCAGUAGCUGGUCUGAGAGGACGAUCAGCCACACUGGGACUGAGACACGGCCCAGACUCCUACGGGAGGCAGCAGUGGGGAAUUUUGGACAAUGGGGGCAACCCUGAUCCAGCAAUGCCGCGUGAGUGAAGAAGGCCUUCGGGUUGUAAAGCUCUUUUGUCAGGGAAGAAACACCGGCUCUAACACAGUCCGGGAAUGACGGUACCUGAAGAAUAAGCACCGGCUAACUACGUGCCAGCAGCCGCCGUAA
RNAcentral lists this ribosomal RNA (501 nucleotides) under uncultured bacterium. RNAcentral's name for it is "partial 16S ribosomal RNA". It matches the Rfam family "Bacterial small subunit ribosomal RNA", at positions 29 to 523 of the family's 1533-position model. The record is from RNAcentral.